RNAcentral lists this ribosomal RNA (1061 nucleotides) under Enterobacter asburiae. RNAcentral describes it as "partial 23S ribosomal RNA". It matches the Rfam family "Bacterial large subunit ribosomal RNA", at positions 796 to 1872 of the family's 2925-position model. The record is from RNAcentral. Lineage: Bacteria; Pseudomonadati; Pseudomonadota; Gammaproteobacteria; Enterobacterales; Enterobacteriaceae.
AGCAUGGGAUGAGCUGUGGAUAGCGGAGAAAUUCCAAUCGAACUCGGAGAUAGCUGGUUCUCCUCGAAAUAGCUUUAGGGCUAGCGUCGGAUAUGAGUAAUGGAGGUAGAGCACUGAAUGGGCUAGGGGGCGUAUCGCUUACCGAACCUUAUCAAACUCCGAAUGCCAUAUACUAUGAGUCCGGCAGUCAGACUACGAAUGAUAAGAUCCGUGGUCAAAAGGGAAAAAGCCCAGAUCGUCAGCUAAGGUCCCAAAGUGUAAGUUAAGUGGUAAAGGAUGUGGGAUUUCUAAGACAACUAGGAUGUUGGCUUAGAAGCAGCCACUCAUUUAAAGAGUGCGUAAUAGCUCACUAGUCGAGAGAUCCUGCGCCGAAAAUGUCCGGGGCUCAAACUUACCACCGAAGCUACGGGCUCAAGUUAACUUGAGCGGUAGAGGAGCGUCGUAAUCGGGCUGAAGUCGUACCGUAAGGAGCGGUGGACUGAUUACGAGUGAGAAUGUUGGCAUUAGUAGCGAGAUGUAAGUGAGAAUCUUACAGGCCGAAAAUCUAAGGUUUCCUGGGGAAGGCUCGUCCGCCCAGGGUUAGUCGGGACCUAAGCCGAGGCCGAAAGGCGUAGGUGAUGGACAAUUGGUUGAUAUUCCAAUACCACUAUUAUCGUUAUUAUCGAUGGUGUGACGGAGAAGGAUAGGAUGUGCUAGCGAUUGGAAAUGCUAGUCUAAGCAUUUAGGGAGUUAAAGUAGGCAAAUCCGCUUUAACAAUUCUGAGGUGUGAUGGGGAAGGUCAUUUUGACUGAAGUAUCUGAUUCCAUGCUUCCAAGAAAAGCAUCUAGAGAGAGAAGUAGUGCCCGUACCGCAAACCGACACAGGUAGAUGAGGAGAGAAUCCUAAGGCCAUCGGAAGAAUUGCAGUUAAGGAACUAGGCAAAUUGACCCCGUAAGUUCGCGAGAAGGGGUGCCUGUGAGAGCAGGCCGCAGAGAAUAGGCCCAAGCAACUGUUUAGCAAAAACACAGGUCUCUGCUAAAGCGUAAGCUGAUGUAUAGGGGCUGACGCCUGCCCGGUGCUGG